UCUUACACAAGUUAUGCAAAUAUUCAAAGUCAAUGAACCAUGACUGAGUUACAUGGCUAAACAAUCUCCAUGUAAAUGAGAUGUGCCAAUGCUAAUACAAAUGCAUACCAAAUACCAUUGACUUAUUAUAAGUCGUUCCCAAACCUAAACACAAACAUUAACUUGUAAACUAUGUAAAAGUUUCAAAGUCAAUGGACCAUGAAGAGGGGGUGGGGCUAUAUCAUCUCCAUGGAAACGAUACUUGCAAAUGCCAAUAAAU
RNAcentral lists this long non-coding RNA (259 nucleotides) under Mytilus galloprovincialis (Mediterranean mussel). The record is from RNAcentral. Lineage: Eukaryota; Metazoa; Mollusca; Bivalvia; Mytilida; Mytilidae.